AGAACUGCUAUAACACUCAUGGAUCCGAGACCAGUGUUUUAUUUAGCACAAGAUCAGUGAUGGACGGACAGACUCCAGCAAGACAGAUGGGCAGAUGUGGCUUCACAGCAGAUGAAUUCAUCUGAUGAACCUGUCCACAGCAGCAUUUGUCUACAUUGACUAUAGGCUCUGCCUUGUAACAAAUUUGUUUGCACCAGAAAUGCAGCCUUUGACUUCAACAGGAAAAAAAUGGAGAGCAUCCUCCACUGUUAAAGCUAUAUUUUCACCAACCAAAAAAAGAGGAUUUUACAGAGCAAGCUGGCCAGCAAAGUGAGGUUGAAGGAGACAAAUGAGGAGAUUCGCAGCCCACCUGAAGCCCUGGAGAACGCUGCCCGAGCAGGCAUGCCAGCGGAGGCCCCUACUAAUUAUCAGGCCUCCUCAUGACUGACAUCUGCCUCCUACCCCUCUAUUAGGACAUCACCAGCAGCUUGAAGGGGGGAAAAAAAACAUGGAGAACCCACACAACAACGAGGGCUACAUGCUAUCAAGGUGCCUAAACAGGUGAUUAAGUCUACAUUUUCUGGCCUCCUGAUGUGAGAAGUAAUACUGAUGUCGACUCUGGAGAAUGGAGGCAUGGUGAAGGUUCCUCUGGUGAGCGCCUGCCCUUUGGUGACCUUGUCCAUCUGAGGCAUCUGCGGCUCAGUGGAGCGUUUCCUGGCCGUCUCAUGCUCUAUCAGUCCCAAUGAAGGAACACAGCACCAGACCGGACCCGCAUGGCAAUAAGGGGUGCUGGAGUCAACCCGAUCCGACAGCCUAGCUCACCCCUCUGGUCUAAGGGUCAACGCUGGGGUCAUUCAGCACCUAGAGUCACCCUGGGUAAUUCUGGAUGCACUCAUGAUAUGAAGACUCCCUUGAUGUCCUUUCGAUUGGCAUUAUAUGCAAGGACAGGUUUAAUCAAAAGUGCAGGGAACAGGAGUCAUUCUGCCCUCGGUUCCUGCUGAAGACAGCCAUCAGACACAACAGGGUGAUGCUGGGUACAGUUGCCAUGGAAAUCCAAGUUCGUAGACCACAUGCCACAAGGUUCAGUGGCUCAAAAAAUCUCAAAUGAACUGAUGCAACAAUCUGCACACAAUUAACUCUCGCACUGCUUUUUCAGCUGUUUGCUUUGUAAAUGAAUGCCUUCUAUUUCAGUUCUGUUCCCCCUAGUUUACUAUAUACUUUUCUAAACUGCUAUUCUUGAGGCAUACAGCUGCAUUUUAUGUUACUGUACACUAAAUCUUGGUUAUAUACAGAUGUUAUUUUCACUGAGGUAUCAGUGUUCGGCUGAUGAGCUGGUAUGUAGAUGUCCACAGCCAAUUCAUGAAGUAGCCAAGCAUUCUUACAAUAUUAAAUAUUUUGCCCAGUAAACAUAUAAAUCAUUAUUUCUUUACACUUUAGUAGACGACUUAUAUUUGAUGUCACAGCUCAGGAUAGAUGCUAGUGAAGGGCUUGGGAUGAGACUGAGAUAAAUGGGAAUGUUAUACUGUAGAUAUACAGUAUAGAGGUUUUAUUACAGAAGUUGUUGUCCUCUGUGCACAGUUGUGCAAAUAUGUCAAACUCUGAACCCUAGUGGUGGACUGUGAUAAAGGCGUCAAUGUUUGAGAAGAGGGAUGGUUCACUUUCACUGCUGUAAAAUGUUAUGUAAUUUAAAGCACUUUGAUUGAUCGAUUGACUACGACUAAUUGCUCUAAAAGACAAACCUUGAGACUGUGUAGCUUUCGGUGAUCAUUUGUGCUUUUUGAUUUGUUUGAUGUUUUUUCCUCAAACUCCAUGCAAUAUUUUUGCACAGUGAGGUCAGGCCCUAAUUAUUAGAGUGAAUAAAUGUUAUGGUGACCAGAUAAAAAAAAAAA
Cyprinus carpio carpio is the source of this 1868-nucleotide long non-coding RNA. The record is from Ensembl. NCBI's taxonomy places the organism in Eukaryota, Metazoa, Chordata, Actinopteri, Cypriniformes, Cyprinidae.